This 373-nucleotide ribosomal RNA is filed under the name uncultured organism. Its description in RNAcentral is "bacterial SSU rRNA". It matches the Rfam family "Bacterial small subunit ribosomal RNA", at positions 526 to 896 of the family's 1533-position model. The record is from RNAcentral.
CGUAGGGCGCAAGCGUUGUCCGGAAUUAUUGGGCGUAAAGAGCUCGUAGGCGGUUUGUCGCGUCUGCUGUGAAAACGCGAGGCUCAACCUCGCGCCUGCAGUGGGUACGGGCAGACUAGAGUGCGGUAGGGGAGACUGGAAUUCCUGGUGUAGCGGUGGAAUGCGCAGAUAUCAGGAGGAACACCGGUGGCGAAGGCGGGUCUCUGGGCCGUUACUGACGCUGAGGAGCGAAAGCAUGGGGAGCGAACAGGAUUAGAUACCCUGGUAGUCCAUGCCGUAAACGUUGGGCACUAGGUGUGGGACCCAUUCCACGGGUUCCGUGCCGCAGCUAACGCAUUAAGUGCCCCGCCUGGGGAGUACGGCCGCAAGGCUA